GUGUUUUUGCCGAACAUCUCGCCCAUGCUAGCAGUGGUGGUGGAAGGCAAGCAGUCUCUGUGCAUGAUCUCCUCUGCGGAGUAGCAGUGGGGCAGAUUGUUCCUGGGGUGCCAUUUACUGGAGGGAUCAAUGGCAUAUUCCCUGAAGCUGCCCCUUUGAAGCGGAUCCGUGAAGGAGGAAAAUUGGGAGACGUCGGCUGACGUGGAGAGCUCGCCCCAGCCCGGCAGGGAGGUGCGGUCACGUGACGCCACGCCAAAUUGACAAGCGGCGGCUCCGGGCCCUCGCCCCUUCGGAGCCGGCUCGGGGGAUGCAACAGAUCGGCACGGCGCCGGGCGCCCCCCCCCCCCGGGGUAAAGCAGCCCCCCUCCGGGGCAUUGCCCCCCGCUCCGGGGGAUGCCCCCCCGAAGGGUACGGCACCCGCCCCGGCCGCCCGGUUCCCCGGCGGAGCGGCUUAGCCAUCCCCGCAGGGCUAGGAACAAACUCGCCGUACCGUGAUGCUUGCCUUUUCGCCUCGUACCGUCGCUGAAGGCUGAGACCCAGGGAGACCUAUUUUAAAAACGUGGUUAAACUUUUACUAUUGUUGCAUGAAAGGGAUGAUAUAGAAAGCGGAUUGUACAGGGCAGAGACUAAAAAGCACUUCUCUGCCAAUAAAAAUGCACACCCCACCGAAUGAGCAGAGCCAAAGAAAACAGAGAAAUACGCCAAAGAAUACAGCACCUUUUCAGGCAUGGACAUCCCUCGGCUGUUGGAAAAAAAUAUUUUUUGCUAGUCUGAUGCUCGAUUUCAGAAAAGAAAUAUUUGGGUUCCGGCUGGAUUUAAUCAAAAUAGAAAAACAGAACGGCAAAAGGCUAUUGUGAAGUCGGUGCUCUUAUGAAAUUAGACGUGCUUCGAGAUCUGUCCCCCCCCUGGGCUUGGGAGGCUAAUGGAAGGGAAACUAAAAUGCUAGGGAAAUAAUAUUUGGAUUUCCCCCCCCCCCCUUCUUCUGCAGUGCUGUGGAAGUAUUUAUAUAUCCGGAGAAAGUUCUAUAGUAAAUUCUGGAGAUCUUCGGUAUUUAAAUGUCAACAUCGAUUUGUUUAUUUAUUGCUUAGCUUAUCGUAACUGACUCAAUAACAAAUCUAAUCAUGUUGUGCACAGAAAAAAUAUUCUCAUUAUGUAUUUUCCCUACAUUAUAGUUAACUAUUACAUUUGAAUUCAAGCUGUAAAUUCAAUAUUAUCAAGUAAUUACUUUGUAGUGGAGUAAACUAAUUUAUUAGCA
Cygnus atratus (black swan) is the source of this 1255-nucleotide long non-coding RNA. RefSeq lists it as uncharacterized. The transcript has 3 exons. The record is from RefSeq and is a predicted model, not a curated record. Lineage: Eukaryota; Metazoa; Chordata; Aves; Anseriformes; Anatidae.